UGUGUAGCGGUGAAAUGCAUAGAUAUCACGAGGAACUCCGAUUGCGCAGGCAGCUUACCAAGCCGUAACUGACGCUCAAGCACGAAGGCGUGGGGAUCAAACAGGAUUAGAUACCCUGGUAGUCCACGCAGUAAACGAUGAUUACUGGCUGUUUGCGAUAUAAUGUAAGCGGCUGAGCGAAAGCGUUAAGUAAUCCACCUGGGGAGUACGUUCGCAAGAAUGAAACUCAAAGGAAUUGACGGGGGCCCGCACAAGCGGAGGAACAUGUGGUUUAAUUCGAUGAUACGCGAGGAACCUUACCCGGGCUUGAAAUGCAUCUGUCGUCCCGAGAGAUCGGGAUUUCCUUCGGGACAGAUGUGUAGGUGCUGCAUGGUUGUCGUCAGCUCGUGCCGUGAGGUGUCGGCUUAAGUGCCAUAACGAGCGCAACCCCUACCGUUAGUUGCCAUCAGGUCUAGCUGGGGACUCUAACGGGACUGCCAUCGUAAGGUGCGAGGAAGGUGGGGAUGACGUCAAAUCAGCACGGCCCUUACGUCCGGGGCGACACACGUGUUACAAUGGGUGGUACAAAGGGCAGCUACAUGGCGACAUGGUGCCAAUCUCCAAAACCACUCUCAGUUCGGAUCGGAGUCUGCAACUCGACUCCGUGAAGCUGGAUUCGCUAGUAAUCGCGCAUCAGCCACGGCGCGGUGAAUACGUUCCCGGGCCUUGUACACACCGCCCGUCAAGCCAUGGAAGCUGGGGGUGCCUGAAGUCCGUAACCGUCAAGGAGCGGCCUAGGGUAAAACCGGUGAC
Molecule: ribosomal RNA, 792 nt
Filed under: uncultured Bacteroides sp.
Lineage: Bacteria; Pseudomonadati; Bacteroidota; Bacteroidia; Bacteroidales; Bacteroidaceae
Description: bacterial SSU rRNA
Rfam family: Bacterial small subunit ribosomal RNA
Source: RNAcentral